GCCUACGGGGCGCAGCAGUAGGGAAUCUUCCACAAUGGGCGAAAGCCUGAUGGAGCAACGCCGCGUGGGUGAAGAAGGUCUUCGGAUCGUAAAACCCUGUUGUCAGAGAAGAAAGUGCGUGAGAGUAACUGUUCACGUUUCGACGGUAUCUAACCAGAAAGCCACGGCUAACUACGUGCCAGCAGCCGCGGUAAUACGUAGGUGGCAAGCGUUAUCCGGAUUUAUUGGGCGUAAAGAGAACGCAGGCGGUCUUUUAAGUCUGAUGUGAAAGCCUUCGGCUUAACCGGAGUAGUGCAUUGGAAACU
RNAcentral lists this ribosomal RNA (305 nucleotides) under uncultured bacterium. RNAcentral describes it as "bacterial SSU rRNA". It matches the Rfam family "Bacterial small subunit ribosomal RNA", at positions 337 to 634 of the family's 1533-position model. The record is from RNAcentral.